RNAcentral lists this ribosomal RNA (253 nucleotides) under uncultured bacterium. RNAcentral describes it as "partial 16S ribosomal RNA". It matches the Rfam family "Bacterial small subunit ribosomal RNA", at positions 524 to 776 of the family's 1533-position model. The record is from RNAcentral.
UACGUAGGGUGCAGGCGUUAAUCGGAAUUACUGGGCGUAAAGCGUGCGCAGGCGGCUUCCUAAGUCAGAUGUGAAAUCCCCGGGCUUAACCUGGGAACUGCGUUUGAAACUGGGAGGCUGGAGUGCGGCAGAGGGGGGUGGAAUUCCACGUGUAGCAGUGAAAUGCGUAGAUAUGUGGAGGAACACCGAUGGCGAAGGCAGCCCCCUGGGCUGACACUGACGCUCAGGCACGAAAGCGUGGGGAGCAAACAGG